CCCGAGGAAAAGAAAUCAACCGAGAUUCCCCCAGUAGCGGCGAGCGAACGGGGAGGAGCCCAGAGCCUGAAUCAGCAUGUGUGUUAGUGGAAGCGUCUGGAAAGGCGCGCGAUACAGGGUGACAGCCCCGUACACAAAAGCGCAUGUGCUGUGAGCUCGAUGAGUAGGGCGGGACACGUGGUAUCCUGUCUGAAUAUGGGGGGACCAUCCUCCAAGGCUAAAUACUCCUGACUGACCGAUAGUGAACCAGUACCGUGAGGGAAAGGCGAAAAGAACCCCGGCGAGGGGAGUGAAAAAGAACCUGAAACCGUGUACGUACAAGCAGUGGGAGCACAGGUUUACCUGUGUGACUGCGUACCUUUUGUAUAAUGGGUCAGCGACUUAUAUUCUGUAGCAAGGUUAACCGUAUAGGGGAGCCGGAGGGAAACCGAGUCUUAACCGGGCGUUAAGUUGCAGGGUAUAGACCCGAAACCCGGUGAUCUAGCCAUGGGCAGGUUGAAGGUUGGGUAACACUAACUGGAGGACCGAACCGACUAAUGUUGAAAAAUUAGCGGAUGACCUGUGGCUGGGGGUGAAAGGCCAAUCAAACCGGGAGAUAGCUGGUUCUCCCCGAAAGCUAUUUAGGUAGCGCCUCGUGAAUUCAUCUCCGGGGGUAGAGCACUGUUUCGGCUAGGGGGCCAUCCCGGCUUACCAACCCGAUGCAAACUGCGAAUACCGGAGAAUGUUAUCACGGGAGACACACGGCGGGUGCUAACGUCCGUCGUGAAGAGGGAAACAACCCAGAC
RNAcentral lists this ribosomal RNA (785 nucleotides) under Salmonella enterica. RNAcentral describes it as "partial 23S ribosomal RNA". It matches the Rfam family "Bacterial large subunit ribosomal RNA", at positions 210 to 1032 of the family's 2925-position model. Lineage: Bacteria; Pseudomonadati; Pseudomonadota; Gammaproteobacteria; Enterobacterales; Enterobacteriaceae. The record is from RNAcentral.